Long non-coding RNA from Condylura cristata (star-nosed mole), 482 nucleotides. RefSeq lists it as uncharacterized. The transcript has 3 exons. The record is from RefSeq and is a predicted model, not a curated record. Lineage: Eukaryota; Metazoa; Chordata; Mammalia; Eulipotyphla; Talpidae.
UUGCCAUUCUAUGGACACUGUCAUUACCAUUCUAUGGAGGAGGAACUGAAGCAGAGAGGGGCAAAAACUCUCCCUACUUCACACAAACAACUGCUGGAGCCAGGGUUCUAGCUGUCCAUGGUCCUGGAUCAGGACGAUGAAGUAUUACCUGCUUCCUACAGUCACUGCUGCCUGGGACUAUCCACAUGUGGAGAACCUAGAAGUGAGACCCAAGUAACCAAGAGUCAGUGGGGAAGCUCUGGGCAAGUGUGUGACUGUGAAGCCUGCCCAGUUGUCCUGGACUAGGCGAGGCCUACCCAUCUGUGCUCCCAGGGGGAAUACGGACUACAAACAAAGCAGGAUCUCACUUGAGCAAGCUUUGAAGUUGGUAAUGAAUGCAUUUACCAGCAUGCAGAACACAGUGCAGCAGACAUAAGCUUAACAUUCUACAGAAGCCAUAGAUCACCAUGCUUUCAUUUCUCCUUACUUUUUAUUAAAAAUAA